GAUGUAUUGAAGUAAUCUCUGGUACCUGUGAACGCAACCUCAUCUGGAAAUAGGGUCAUUGUAGACAUAGCUAGUUAAGAUGAGGCCAUAGUGGAGCUGGGCAGGCCUUUAAUCCAAUAUGACAGGUAUCCUUACAAGAAGAGAGAGAUACUGAGGUGGAGACAGGGAGAGGAUGGCCGCUUGACAAUGGAGGCAGAGAAUGGAGUGAAGCCUCUGCAAGCCAAGGAAUGCCAAGGCUGGCAGGCAGACACCAGGAGCCAUGAGAGGCCGUGAAGGAUUCCUCCAUGAGUUUCAGAGGGCACAUGGCAUGGCUUACACCUUGGUUUCAGCCUUCUGGCCUCCAGAAAUGUGAGAGAAAAAAUUCCUGCUGUUUUAAGCUGCCUAGUUUGUGGCACUUUGUUACAGAAGCCACAGGAAACAUACAAACCUCUAAGAAAGGGAUAUGAUUGUCUCCCAUUUCCCAGAUUUAUCUGAUCAUACAACCUCUUCAUUUUCUCCAGCAUAUCUUGAGGGCGUUUGGUCAACCCAGUGUGGCCACCCCUACCUCUUGGAUGGCCUUUCGUCUUCAUUUGAUUCCUACAUACCUCAAGAGCAGUGUGCUGGACAAACGACGACCCCCAAAGAUGUCCACAUCCCAGUCCUGGAAACUGUGACUACGUAGAUUACACGGCAAAGGAGAGAGAAGGUUACAGGUGGAAUUAAGGCUGAUAAUCUGUUGACUUUAAAAUAGGAAGAUAAAUGGUGUGCAAAUAUUUUUUCCCAGUUGACAUGGUAUUCUAAAAGAUGUUGCUAAGAUCAAUGUUAAAGAGAGUACUGCCUAUAUUUUCUUCUAAGAGUUUUAUGGUUUCAGGUCUUACAUUCAAAUCUUUAAUCCAUUUAUCAGACAAAGGAUUGACCUCCAAAAUACAUAAAGAACUCAUACAAGUCAACAAAAAAAAGCCAAACAACCCAAUCAAAAAAUGGGCAGAGGAUAUGAACGGUCAUUUUUCCAAAGAAGAUAUACAGAUGGCUAAUAGACACAUGAAACAAUGUUAAACAUCACUAAUUAUUAGAGAAAUGCAAAUCAAAACUACAAUGAGAUAUCAGAAUGGCUAUAAUUACCAAGACAAAAAACAACAAAUACUGGAGAAGAUGUGGAGAAAAGCGAACCCUCAUACACUGCUGGUGGGAAUGCAAGCUGGUGCAGCCACUAUGUAAAACAGUAUGGAGAUUUCUCAAAAAAUUGACUAGAACUACCAUAUGAUCCAGCUAUCCCACUACUGGGUAUUUAUCCAAAGAACUUAAGAUCAAUGAUCCAGAGACUUUUGCGCCCUAUGUUCAUUGCAGCAUUAUUCACAAUAGCCAAGAUAUGGAAGCAACCCAAGUGCCCAUUGACUGAUGAAUGGAUAAAGAAGAUGCAUAUAUGUACAAUGGAAUACUACUAAGCUGUAAAAAAAAAGACAAAAUCAUCCCAUUUGCAACAACAUGGGUGGACCUUGAGGGUAUGAUGUUAAGCCAAAAAGCCAGACAGACAAAGACACAUACUGCAUGAUUUCACUCAUAUGUGGAAGAUAACAAAUUCAUGGAUGAAGAGAACAGAUUAGUGGUUACCAGAGGGAAAGGAGGUUGGGGGUUGGGACAAAGGGAUAAAGGGGCACAUAUGUAUGGUGAUGGAUAAAAAUUAGACUACUGGGGGUAAGCAUGAUGAAGUGUAUUCAGAAACUGAUGAAAAAUAAUGUGCACCCGAAAUUACACAAUGUUAUAAACCGUCAUGAUCUCAACAAAAUUACUUGGAAAAAAAAUAGAGAGAUUAUCCAAGUGGGCCCAGCGUAAUCCCCAGGGUACGUAAAAGUGGAAAGGGGAUAAGAAGAGAGAGCCAGAGAGACAGCAAUGUGGGAAGGGCUCAGCCUGAAGAUGCUGGCUUUGAAGAGGAAGGAAUGGCCCACAAGCCAAGGAAUGCAAGUGGCUUUUAGAAGCUGGAAAAGGCAAGGAAAUGGAUUGUCCCCUAGCAUCUCCGGAAACAAAUGCAGCCUACUGACACCUUGAUCUUAGUACAGUGAGAUUCCUGUUGGACUUCUGAUGCCCAGCACGGAGCUCGAGAUCAUGUAAAUCGUUUAAUGUGAUUGGAAGUGUAGUGAUGAAAACAUGGUGUAGGCUUCUUCUCAUUCAUCACGGAUUUGCCUUCACAGGCUAAGGUGAGCAGCUGAUAUGGUGGUGCUCAUGAAAAGGAUUUGGGAGCAGCCAAAUGCAAAGCAAAUAUGAAGCCCAUAACAGUAACAAGUCUGCCUUAAGUAUGACAGCUAGCCUUCUGAGGAUGGUUUCAUCUGUGGGACACAUAAACUCACACCCUGAGCUAUACUGAUGUGUUAUUGCGAGCAGCUUGAUUUCCAGCCUCAUCCAGACAAGCGUGAGCCUGGAGCGCAUCCGUUACACCCUCAAUGGGACGGCGAGGCACACACCGGUGACCCACGCUGGGCUUUGAAGGUCCUAAGUUGAGCCCCUACACGGCACCCUCACCUGGUCUGUGCUUCAAGUUACAUAGGAGACGGAAGUGCGAGAAGUACUAGCUAUCAAAGAGACCUAACAAUAAUCCUAGUAAUUGUAUGAGAUGGAAUGAAUGGUUCGGAAAGUGCCUGAUUGAACAACGUAUGAGUAAGCUGGUGAUACAAGGGCUCAACAGAAGAGAGAAGAGGAUUAAAAACAGGCAUGCACAGGAAAAGAGAGAGGUGACAAAAGAAGCCACCUACACAGACUCUUCAGCUGGUCGUGAUGGUAAUCAAGCCUUAUGUGAACCCCAAGCCACUGGGGUUAGCAUCUUUAGAUAAACUCUUAUUGGAAUCCUGCAAAAAUUGACUUCUGUUAUUUAAAGUGGAUAUUUGAGUGCAAAAGAAGCAGAAGCAAAACCAAAGUUUCUAUAUUGGCAUAGAGCAUCCAAACCGUUACUAACGGAGCUUCUGAGGCUUCCUUCAUUCAGAUCAUCCCGCUACGUGGCCUGCUUGGAUUGAGAUGGGCACAUUCAAGAGAAUGACCCAGGGAUUUCACGUGAUAGUAAUGAUCUCAGGAGGAAAAGUUUGGUGUUUUAAUAAAAGAAAAGGUCUCACUAGAGGUGCUAAGCUAAUGAAAAAACGUGCUAAUAAACCCGUAAUGCAGAC
This is a long non-coding RNA of Equus caballus (horse), 3131 nucleotides long. Lineage: Eukaryota; Metazoa; Chordata; Mammalia; Perissodactyla; Equidae. The record is from Ensembl.